RNAcentral lists this unclassified non-coding RNA (618 nucleotides) under Leishmania donovani. RNAcentral's name for it is "gene:LdHU3.27.3560(CDS-product:hypothetical_prote in_conserved)". The record is from RNAcentral. Lineage: Eukaryota; Euglenozoa; Kinetoplastea; Trypanosomatida; Trypanosomatidae.
UACCUCUCUCUCUUAGCCGUCCACACGAUGCUGUAUACUAUUACACUCGCGCUGAUCACAUUCGCCUCCACCUUCAUGGUAGCGGACACAGUGGCGAACAUAUGGCAGCUGCUGAACAGCGGACGUGUCGCCCUCAUCUCCUAUAGCGUCUGGAUGGCCGCCCUCACGCUGACAGUAUUGGGCGCGGACUGGCUGACGACACUCGGCUUUGUGCACGCGUUGAUCUUCGUCGCAUGCUGGUGGCUUGUCCGCGAUGGGGAUAAUCCCGCGCAUUCAUCCCCCAGUCGCGACGACUACGUGCGCUUCCCUGUGACGGUCUACGUGCCUGCCUUCGUGGUGCUGUACUUCCUUCAGGGUUGGCUGCAGUGACCAUGGCGGCUGACGAUACCACGUAGACACAGAAGGAUAAAAAAGGAAGCGUUCUUGCUGGCGUGUCUGCCUGAUCGUGUGUGUGCAUGGGUGACACUGUGCACGUGUGUGUGUGUAGCCCUCUGCACAUGACAGAGGUGUCUAGUGGUCGGGGUGCGCAAGGUUUUGCAGCUGGAAGCCGGCGAAUUUGAAGUCUCCUUGCUUUCUCGUUCUCCACUCAUACCCACAGUAAAGCGGGUUGAAACUACG